RNAcentral lists this non-coding RNA (158 nucleotides) under Variovorax sp. PAMC 28711. RNAcentral describes it as "FMN riboswitch aptamer (RFN element)". It matches the Rfam family "FMN riboswitch aptamer (RFN element)". Rfam says of the family: The RFN element is a highly conserved domain that is found frequently in the 5'-untranslated regions of prokaryotic mRNAs that encode for flavin mononucleotide (FMN) biosynthesis and transport proteins. Lineage: Bacteria; Pseudomonadati; Pseudomonadota; Betaproteobacteria; Burkholderiales; Comamonadaceae. The record is from Rfam by way of RNAcentral. RNAcentral also lists the same sequence under 1 other name.
CAGCGUUCUCAGGGCGGGGUGAAAUUCCCCACCGGCGGUGAUGGCGACUCGUUCGCACAAGCCCGCGAGCGCCUGCGGUGCGCCAUGCCUCGCAGGGUCAGCAGAUCCCGGUGCGAUUCCGGAGCCGACGGUCACAGUCCGGAUGAAAGAGAGCGCGA